Acipenser ruthenus (sterlet) is the source of this 73-nucleotide non-coding RNA. The record is from the annotation of a RefSeq genome assembly. NCBI's taxonomy places the organism in Eukaryota, Metazoa, Chordata, Actinopteri, Acipenseriformes, Acipenseridae.
GGUAGCGUGGCCGAGCGGUCUAAGGCGCUGGAUUAAGGAUCCGGAGGCGUGGGUUCAAAUCCCACCGCUGCCA